RNAcentral lists this small RNA (125 nucleotides) under Marmota monax (woodchuck). Lineage: Eukaryota; Metazoa; Chordata; Mammalia; Rodentia; Sciuridae. The record is from RNAcentral.
GCUGGGUGUCAUGGAGCAUGCCUGUAAUCCCAGCAGCUUGGGAGGCUGAGGCAGGAGGAUUGCGAAUUUGUAGCCAGCCUCAGCAAAAGCAAGGUGCUAAGCAAUUCAGUGAGACCCUGUCUCUA